RNAcentral lists this ribosomal RNA (553 nucleotides) under uncultured bacterium. RNAcentral describes it as "bacterial SSU rRNA". It matches the Rfam family "Bacterial small subunit ribosomal RNA", at positions 111 to 650 of the family's 1533-position model. The record is from RNAcentral.
UAACACGUGGGCAACCUGCCUGUAAGUUGGGGAUAACUCCGGGAAACCGGGGCUAAUACCGAAUGAUAAGAUGUGGCGCAUGCCACGCCUUUGAAAGAUGGUUUCGGCUAUCGCUUACAGAUGGGCCCGCGGUGCAUUAGCUAGUUGGUAGGGUAAUGGCCUACCAAGGCAACGAUGCAUAGCCGACCUGAGAGGGUGAUCGGCCACACUGGGACUGAGACACGGCCCAGACUCCUACGGGAGGCAGCAGUAGGGAAUCUUCCGCAAUGGACGAAAGUCUGACGGAGCAACGCCGCGUGUAUGAAGAAGGUUUUCGGAUCGUAAAGUACUGUUGUUAGAGAAGAACAAGGAUAAGAGUAACUGCUUGUCCCUUGACGGUAUCUAACCAGAAAGCCACGGCUAACUACGUGCCAGCAGCCGCGGUAAUACGUAGGUGGCAAGCGUUGUCCGGAUUUAUUGGGCGUAAAGCGCGCGCAGGCGGUCUUUUAAGUCUGAUGUGAAAGCCCCCGGCUUAACCGGGGAGGGUCAUUGGAAACUGGAAGACUGGAGUGCA